AUUGAACGCUGGCGGCAGGCUUAACACAUGCAAGUCGAGCGGGGGAAGGUAGCUUGCUACCGGACCUAGCGGCGGACGGGUGAGUAAUGCUUAGGAAUCUGCCUAUUAGUGGGGGACAACAUCUCGAAAGGGAUGCUAAUACCGCAUACGUCCUACGGGAGAAAGCAGGGGAUCUUCGGACCUUGCGCUAAUAGAUGAGCCUAAGUCGGAUUAGCGAGUUGGUGGGGUAAAGGCCUACCAAGGCGACGAUCUGUAGCGGGUCUGAGAGGAUGACACGCAACACUGGGACUGGGACACGGCCCAGACUCCUGCGGGAGGCAGCAGUGGGGAAUAUUGGACAAUGGGGGGAACCCUGAUCCAGCCAUGCCGCGUGUGUGAAGAAGGCCUUAUGGUUGUAAAGCACUUUAAGCGAGGAGGAGGUUACUUUAGUUAAUACCUAGAGAUAGUGGACGUUACUCGCAGAAUAAGCACCGGCUAACUCUGUGCCAGCAGCCGCCGUAA
Molecule: ribosomal RNA, 501 nt
Filed under: uncultured bacterium
Lineage: Bacteria
Description: partial 16S ribosomal RNA
Rfam family: Bacterial small subunit ribosomal RNA
Source: RNAcentral